This 492-nucleotide ribosomal RNA is filed under the name uncultured bacterium. Its description in RNAcentral is "partial 16S ribosomal RNA". It matches the Rfam family "Bacterial small subunit ribosomal RNA", at positions 29 to 507 of the family's 1533-position model. The record is from RNAcentral.
AGUGAACGCUGGCGGUAGGCCUAACACAUGCCAGUCGAACGGCAGCACAGUAAGAGCUUGCUCUUACGGGUGGCGAGUGGCGGACGGGUGAGGAAUACAUCGGAAUCUACUUUUUCGUGGGGGAUAACGUAGGGAAACUUACGCUAAUACCGCAUACGACCUACGGGUGAAAGCAGGGGAUCUUCCGACCUUGCGCGAUUGAAUGAGCCGAUGUCGGAUUAGCUAGUUGGCGGGGUAAAGGCCCACCAAGGCGACGAUCCGUAGCUGGUCUGAGAGGAUGAUCAGCCACACUGGAACUGAGACACGGUCCAGACUCCUACGGGAGGCAGCAGUGGGGAAUAUUGGACAAUGGGCGCAAGCCUGAUCCAGCCAUACCGCGUGGGUGAAGAAGGCCUUCGGGUUGUAAAGCCCUUUUGUUGGGAAAGAAAAGCAGCAGGUUAAUACCCCGCUGUUCUGACGGUACCCAAAGAAUAAGCACCGGCUAACUUCGUG